This is a long non-coding RNA of Gossypium arboreum, 339 nucleotides long. RefSeq lists it as uncharacterized. Lineage: Eukaryota; Viridiplantae; Streptophyta; Magnoliopsida; Malvales; Malvaceae. The transcript is spliced from 2 exons. The record is from RefSeq and is a predicted model, not a curated record.
AUUAAAAAAAAAGGGUGAAAAGGAAAAAGUUUUGUCCAUCUUUGUUCAUCAUAGCCUAAAGUUAGAGAAGAGAAAGGAGAGGAGAAAGCUCUUAAAUGUUCGGUCACUUGGGGAAGAAAAUUAAAGGAAAUCCCCAACCAUAGUGGGCUUGGAGCUAUGAGGGAAUUCGGAGUGGCCACCCGUUCUGAAAGUUUGGUUUUCUUCUGGUGAACUGGACAUCCUAUUAUUUACGUUGAGGUUUGGGUUUUUAAAUGUAAUAAGGCCGCUUAAUUAUUUUUGAUGGUUUUAAUAUGUAUUACUAAGAUAGGUAUUACUUAUUUUAACUGUUGAAAUUGGAUA